Molecule: ribosomal RNA, 294 nt
Filed under: uncultured bacterium
Lineage: Bacteria
Description: partial 16S ribosomal RNA
Rfam family: Bacterial small subunit ribosomal RNA
Source: RNAcentral
AGAGAGGAUUAGACUGGUAGUCCACGCCGUAAACGAUGUCUACUAGUUGUCGGUGGUCUUGUACUGCUGGUAACGCAGCUAACGCGAUAAGUAGACCGCCUGGGGAGUACGGCCGCAAGGUUAAAACUCAAAUGAAUUGACGGGGGCCCGCACAAGCGGUGGAGCAUGUGGUUUAAUUCGAAGCAACGCGAAGAACCUUACCUGGCCUUGACAUCCUGCGAACUUUCUAGAGAUAGAUUGGUGCCUUCGGGAGCGCAGAGACAGGUGCUGCAUGGCUGUCGUCAGCUCGUGUUG